AAGUCGUAACAAGGUUUCCGUAGGUGAACCUGCGGAAGGAUCAUUAACACGUUCUAAACGUAUCAACCAAACGGUUAAGUGCAAACUUAUUCCCUGUAUUCUAAAGCUGUUCAAUAAUUUCUAGUGAUGGGUAAGUCUUUCGGGACUUACAGGAAAUAUUGAACUAGGGUUUUGAACCCAAGGUUUUCUAAUAUAGGCUUUUCCCUUCUUUCUUUCCAUCACUUCCAACCAACCAUUUUCACCACUCUUAACUUAUGACUAAAUCUUUCGAACGAAGAAAUUUGUUUGGAAUUGUAUAUCUAACACGGUACAACUCUUAGCAAUGGAUAUCUUGGUUCUC
Molecule: unclassified non-coding RNA, 340 nt
Filed under: fungal sp.
Lineage: Eukaryota; Fungi
Description: partial internal transcribed spacer region
Rfam family: Eukaryotic small subunit ribosomal RNA (bases 1-46)
Source: RNAcentral